RNAcentral lists this ribosomal RNA (465 nucleotides) under uncultured Klebsiella sp. RNAcentral's name for it is "bacterial SSU rRNA". It matches the Rfam family "Bacterial small subunit ribosomal RNA", at positions 338 to 795 of the family's 1533-position model. Lineage: Bacteria; Pseudomonadati; Pseudomonadota; Gammaproteobacteria; Enterobacterales; Enterobacteriaceae. The record is from RNAcentral.
CCUACGGGUGGCUGCAGUGGGGAAUAUUGCACAAUGAGCGCAAGCCUGAUGCAGCCGUGCCGCGUGUGUGAAGAAGGCCUUCGGGUUGUAAAGCACUUUCAGCGGGGAGGAAGGCGGUGAGGUUAAUAACCUCAUCGAUUGACGUUACCCGCAGAAGAAGCACCGGCUAACUCCGUGCCAGCAGCCGCGGUAAUACGGAGGGUGCAAGCGUUAAUCGGAAUUACUGGGCGUAAAGCGCACGCAGGCGGUCUGUCAAGUCGGAUGUGAAAUCCCCGGGCUCAACCUGGGAACUGCAUUCGAAACUGGCAGGCUAGAGUCUUGUAGAGGGGGGUAGAAUUCCAGGUGUAGCGGUGAAAUGCGUAGAGAUCUGGAGGAAUACCGGUGGCGAAGGCGGCCCCCUGGACAAAGACUGACGCUCAGGUGCGAAAGCGUGGGGAGCAAACAGGAUUAGAUACCCCAGUAGUC